CCAAUAGCGUAUAUUAAAGUUGUUGCAGUUAAAAAGCUCGUAGUUGAAUUUCGGGGUUAAUACGUUGGUCGGGCUAUUUGGUCUGUACUUAUGUAAUGGAUUCCUACCUUCUGAAUAACCGGCAUGCCAUUAAUUUGGUGCGCCGGGGAAGCAGGACUGUUACCUUGAAAAAAUUAGAGUGCUUAAAGCAGGCUAUCGCCUGAAAUCAGUAGCAUGGAAUAAAGAAAUAGGAAGGUAUUGUUCUAAUUUGUUGGUUUCUAGGAUCACAGUAAUGAUUAAUAGGGAUAGUUGGGGGCAUUAGUAUUCAAUUGUCAGAGGUGAAAUUCUUGGAUUUAUUGAAGACUAACUACUGCGAAAGCAUUUGCCAAGGAUGUUUUCAUUAAUCAAGAACGAAAGUUAGGGGAUCGAAGACGAUCAGAUACCGUCGUAGUCUUAACCAUAAACUAUGCCGACUAGGGAUCGGACGAUGUUAAUUUUUUAAUGACUCGUUCGGCGCCUUACG
This 502-nucleotide ribosomal RNA is filed under the name uncultured Glomeromycotina. RNAcentral describes it as "partial small subunit ribosomal RNA". It matches the Rfam family "Eukaryotic small subunit ribosomal RNA", at positions 591 to 1092 of the family's 1831-position model. Lineage: Eukaryota; Fungi; Glomeromycota. The record is from RNAcentral.